GAUGAACGCUGGCGGCGUGCCUAACACAUGCAAGUCGAACGGACUUACAUUGAAGCCUAGCGAUAUGUAAGUUAGUGGCGGACGGGUGAGUAACGCGUGGGUAACCCGCCUUGUACUGGGGGACAACAGUUGGAAACGACUGCUAAUACCGCAUAAGCGCACAGCUUCGCAUGAAGCAGUGUGAAAAACUCCGGUGGUACAAGAUGGACCCGCGUCUGAUUAGCUGGUUGGUGAGGUAACGGCCCACCAAGGCGACGAUCAGCAGCCGGCCGGAGAGGGUGAACGGCCACAUUGGGACUGAGACACGGCCCAAACUCCUACGGGAGGCAGCAGUGGGGAAUAUUGCACAAUGGGGGAAACCCUGAUGCAGCAACGCCGCGUGAGUGAAGAAGUAUUUCGGUAUGUAAAGCUCUAUCAGCAGGAAAGAAAAUGACGG
Molecule: ribosomal RNA, 436 nt
Filed under: uncultured bacterium
Lineage: Bacteria
Description: bacterial SSU rRNA
Rfam family: Bacterial small subunit ribosomal RNA
Source: RNAcentral